Molecule: non-coding RNA, 2328 nt
Organism: Leptonychotes weddellii (Weddell seal)
Lineage: Eukaryota; Metazoa; Chordata; Mammalia; Carnivora; Phocidae
Source: RefSeq, a predicted model, not a curated record
AAAAGUUUAGUGGUAUUAUAAAAAUAGUUUUGAUCAUGUAGACCUGAAAAGUUCUCAGAGACCCUGAAAGGUCCCUAGACCACACUCUGAGUCUAGUUGUUUUUCUUGGGUUCAGUCAGAUCUCUUGAGAAUUGUGUAUCUGGUUGCAUCAGUUCCAACAGUCGCUUGUAGUGAACUGUGUUCCGUCAUGUCCACAUUAAAGGAGAUGACCAGGGGAGGGAGAUCCUGACAGGAUUUUUUAUUGCUAUUACUAAAAUGAAGUUGUUGGAUCCUUCAUUUUCAAUGUCGAACAAUACGCUCUUUAGGAAGGCUCGGGCUGACAGGUUUUACUUCUCAGAACCAGAAAUGGCUUCACCGCCCAGCAGUGUUUAUCCUGUGAGUCUCAUGUGUGUAACUUGCUUCCCUCUUUGUACUGGCCAACAGGAAGCUCAGCCAUGUUUGUGGUCCAGCUUUUUACAAAGUACCUAAGCCCUUGUGGGGUUGAUUGGGGCCAUUGCAUUCACUUUAUCCUUUCUUCCCCCGGACUUUGUUUUCUUACUCCAGUUUUCUAUGUUGUGUCACAUGUUAGACCCCUCAUGUUACAAUGAGGCAGGGCACCAACAGUAUUUAUUCGGUUAAGAACCAGGUAUAAUCUAGUAAGGGAAAUGAAGUGAAUUCACAAAUAAGAUUGGAACAUGAAAAGUGCCUUUAAAGAUGUUCAGAGUGUCUUCCGACACUGGACAUACACAAACCCUGUGUCCCUGUAGUUCUCUUCCCGAUGCAGCAGAAAUGCUCUUGUAGAUUGACCAAUAGCCAUGUACCAGAAUGUUCACAGCAGCCAAAUGUCCGUCCACAGUACGAUGGAUAAAUAAGCUGUGAGAUAUUCACAUGAUGGGAUACGAUACAGCAAUUAGAAUGAACGCUACAAUGAAUCCCACAAAUAAUGCUGAAUAAACGAAGCCAGUUGCAAUAGUACUUUUAGAUUCCAUUUAGAUGAAUAAAAAUGGUAAAUUAAGCCAUUCAGUUAGAAGUCAGGACGGUGGCUGCUCUUGGGAAGGGGGAGGGUUAGUAACCAGGAAGUGGUACGGGCCGUCUUCACGGUGCUGAUAGGUUCGAUUUUUUUUAUCUGGGUGCAGGUUCCAUAGGUGUAUUGAGUUUUGGGCUACUUCCCUGAGCUGUAUAAAUUCACAUUCUUUUCUAAAUGUACGUCAUACUUAAGGUUUUUUUAAAAAAAGUUGCAGAGAUGGGCUCUAGAAGGAAAAGAAGUUGAAUUUGAUUUAGAAGAAUAAGAAGUGGAAUCAGGAAACUUGGCAGAGAACCCUGCUGUUCAGUAUAUAAAGUGUGUAUAAAGUGCCCAGCAAAUUCCUGGGCCAGCAGAGGCCAGAUUAAUGAGAGCUGUUAUCACUGGCUGGGCAGCUGACAUUCCAACAGAGCUAUGAAAAACGCCUGGGAUUCAGACACGCAGUGAGUGACAGAGGUGUGGACUCAGCAAAACUAAGCCCGUCUUUGAGAGCUGGCUGGGCCCGGGUGCAGGUGUGUGUGGGGAGACAACUGAACCGUGGGCUUUGCCUGCCCGGUGUGCCACCGGCCUGGGCUUGGCCCAGAGCAGGUGCUCAUUAGGGUUUGGAUGGACUGAGUGAUCAGUUGAAAGAAUGAGGGAGGACCAGAUGAAGGGAAUGGCAGAUUCGGACCAUGUGUGGGGACACCUGGAAUGUCAAGCUGGUCCGCGAUGGAUUGGUACUCAGAAACAGAAGCUGAGCUUCGCCCCGGCGAAUCCUAUGCCCACGGCUGCUGUGUGGGGCCUGGGCAGUGGGAGCUUCCCCGCCGGCCCCAGACCCUCCAGGGAAAUCACCAGUCAACUCUCUGCAACUUCCUCGUUCCCCACAUGCUCUCUGCAAAGCCAGCUCAGGACAUGGACAACUGUAGGGGGCAGGGACAUCACCAUCAUCAUCUCCCAGAGGAGAAUGCCAAGGCACUGAAAGGCCUCUGGAGAAAGAGAAGGAGAAGGAUACGCUUCCCCGGCAGAUGUACAGCAGGCUUCGGAGGUCUGGGAGAUGACAUCAGUUGGUGGUGUGUGUGUGUGCGUGCACACCCAUGUGCUUUGAGACUCCCUGAAUGAAGACACCAACAGAGGCGUCAUUCCCUGCCAGGACUGUGUCAGCCUCAGCUGCCAGGUGCCCUCUCCUGGUGUCUGGCUGCCUUGGGCCAAGCAUGUGACCUGGACAUUGGACUUGCCGCGCCCUCUGCCUGGAACUCUCCUCCCCUCUAGCAUUAGUUCCGUGUAAUCGGCUAAUUACAUUCCGCCGAGCUGUAGCAUGGAUCUCAAUAAACUCUUGUUAAAUGAAUGAA